UGGAUCCAGACUUUGAUUAUGGCUCAGGAUGAACGCUAGCUACAGGCUUAACACAUUGCAAGUCGAGGGGCAGCAUGUCGGUUGCUUGCAACCGAUGAUGGCGACCGGCGCACGGGUGAGUAACGCGUAUCCAACCUACCCUUGUCCAUCGGAUAACCCGUCGAAAGGCGGCCUAACACGAUAUGCGGUUCACCGCAGGCAUCUAACGCGGACGAAAUGUGAAGGAGAAGGAUGGGGAUGCGUCUGAUUAGCUUGUUGGCGGGGUAACGGCCCACCAAGGCUACGAUCAGUAGGGGUUCUGAGAGGAAGGUCCCCCACAUUGGAACUGAGACACGGUCCAAACUCCUACGGGAGGCAGCAGUGAGGAAUAUUGGUCAAUGGACGAGAGUCUGAACCAGCCAAGUAGCGUGCAGGAUGACGGCCCUAUGGGUUGUAAACUGCUUUUAUAGGGGGAUAAAGUGUGCCACGUGUGGCAUAUUGCAGGUACCCUAUGAAUAAGGACCGGCUAAUUCCGUGCCAGCAGCCGCGGUAAUACGGAAGGUCCAGGCGUUAUCCGGAUUUAUUGGGUUUAAAGGGAGCGUAGGCCGUUUGGUAAGCGUGUUGUGAAAUGUCGGGGCUCAACCUGGGCAUUGCAGCGCGAACUGCCAGACUUGAGUGCGCAGGAAGUAGGCGGAAUUCGUCGUGUAGCGGUGAAAUGCUUAGAUAUGACGAAGAACUCCGAUUGCGAAGGCAGCCUGCUGUAGCGCAACUGACGCUGAAGCUCGAAAGCGUGGGUAUCGAACAGGAUUAGAUACCCUGGUAGUCCACGCGGUAAACGAUGGAUGCUCGCUGUUUGCGUCUGACGUAAGCGGCCUAGCGAAAGCGUUAAGC
This 870-nucleotide ribosomal RNA is filed under the name uncultured bacterium. Its description in RNAcentral is "bacterial SSU rRNA". It matches the Rfam family "Bacterial small subunit ribosomal RNA", at positions 1 to 865 of the family's 1533-position model. The record is from RNAcentral. RNAcentral also lists the same sequence under 1 other name.